RNAcentral lists this ribosomal RNA (495 nucleotides) under uncultured bacterium. RNAcentral's name for it is "partial 16S ribosomal RNA". It matches the Rfam family "Bacterial small subunit ribosomal RNA", at positions 29 to 506 of the family's 1533-position model. The record is from RNAcentral.
ACGAACGCUGGCGGCGUGCCUAAUACAUGCAAGUUGAGCGCUGAAGGUUGGUACUUGUACCAACUGGAUGAGCAGCGAACGGGUGAGUAACGCGUGGGGAAUCUGCCUUUGAGCGGGGGACAACAUUUGGAAACGAAUGCUAAUACCGCAUAAAAACUUUAAACACAAGUUUUAAGUUUGAAAGAUGCAAUUGCAUCACUCAAAGAUGAUCCCGCGUUGUAUUAGCUAGUUGGUGAGGUAAAGGCUCACCAAGGCGAUGAUACAUAGCCGACCCGAGAGGGUGAUCGGCCACAUUGGGACUGAGACACGGCCCAAACUCCUACGGGAGGCAGCAGUAGGGAAUCUUCGGCAAUGGACGAAAGUCUGACCGAGCAACGCCGCGUGAGUGAAGAAGGUUUUCGGAUCGUAAAACUCUGUUGGUAGAGAAGAACGUUGGUGAGAGUGGAAAGCUCAUCAAGUGACGGUAACUACCCAGAAAGGGACGGCUAACUACGU